Molecule: long non-coding RNA, 229 nt
Filed under: Cairina moschata (Muscovy duck)
Lineage: Eukaryota; Metazoa; Chordata; Aves; Anseriformes; Anatidae
Description: domestica (muscovy Duck (domestic type)) lncRNA (ENSCMMG00000002435.1)
Source: RNAcentral
ACAUCAAGUUUCCAUCGACAACAGGAGAACCAGCUGGGAGUGCUGGUUGAGUGACGCGUGCUGACUACCAGGGCUCCCCUCAGUGAGCUGCUGACUGAGAUCCACCUCCAUGAGGAGGAAAUGAAAUCACCAGCCCACAGUCAUUAAAGGGAAACUUGGCAGAAAGUGCGACGGGAAGGUCUGAUGUCCGGGAAAGGAGUGGAAGUUGUCAGCUCCCUCCCAAGGGAGC